AACGAACGCUGGCGGCAUGCCUAACACAUGCAAGUCGAACGAGAUCUUCGGGUCUAGUGGCGCACGGGUGCGUAACGCGUGGGAAUCUGCCCUUUGGUUCGGAAUAACAGUUGGAAACGACUGCUAAUACCGGAUGAUGACGAAAGUCCAAAGAUUUAUCGCCAGAGGAUGAGCCCGCGUAGGAUUAGCUAGUUGGUGUGGUAAAGGCGCACCAAGGCGACGAUCCUUAGCUGGUGUGAGAGGAUGAUCAGCCACACUGGGACUGAGACACGGCCCAGACUCCUACGGGAGGCAGCAGUGGGGAAUGUUGGACAAUGGGCGAAAGCCUGAUCCAGCAAUGCCGCGUGAGUGAUGAAGGCCUUAGGGUUGUAAAGCUCUUUUACCCGGGAUGAUAAUGACAGUACCGGGAGAAUAAGCUCCGGCUAACUCCGUGCCAGCAGCCGCGGUAA
RNAcentral lists this ribosomal RNA (449 nucleotides) under uncultured bacterium. RNAcentral's name for it is "partial 16S ribosomal RNA". It matches the Rfam family "Bacterial small subunit ribosomal RNA", at positions 29 to 523 of the family's 1533-position model. The record is from RNAcentral.